Long non-coding RNA from Lingula anatina, 225 nucleotides. Lineage: Eukaryota; Metazoa; Brachiopoda; Lingulata; Lingulida; Lingulidae. The record is from RefSeq and is a predicted model, not a curated record.
AUUAAAUCUACCGAAGCAGCAAGAUGGUGUGGAUCUCCAGUAAAGUUCUCAUCGUGCUGUCUGUUCUUCUCUUUCAAAACUCGUCAGCAGUGAUGCAAAGCAAAACGUGCGAGGAUAUAAGUUGUCCAGAUGGCUCAGUGUGUCGCCAGUAUACCACAGCGUGUGUCACUGCCCCCUGUCCACAGUCUGAACCUGAGUGUGUCGUCCAAGCCUCAGGCAAGCCAG